Molecule: ribosomal RNA, 373 nt
Filed under: uncultured bacterium
Lineage: Bacteria
Description: bacterial SSU rRNA
Rfam family: Bacterial small subunit ribosomal RNA
Source: RNAcentral
UACGGAGGGAGCAAGCGUUACUCGGAAUUAUUGGGCGUAAAGGGCGCGUAGGCGAUUUGACAUGUCUUAUGUGAAAGCCCAGAGCUUAACUCUGGAAGUGCAUAAGAAACUGUUGAAUUUGAGUACAGGAGAGGAAGGCAGAAUUCCCGGUGUAGCGGUGAAAUGCGUAGAUAUCGGGAGGAAUACCAGUGGCGAAGGCGGCCUUCUGGACUGUAACUGACGCUGAGGCGCGAAAGCUAGGGGAGCAAACGGGAUUAGAUACCCCGGUAGUCCUAGCCGUAAACGAUGUGCACUUGGUGUGAGCCCAUUUUGGGUUUGUGCCGAAGUUAACGCAAUAAGUGCACCGCCUGGGGAGUACGGUCGCAAGGCUGAA